GACGAACGCUGGCGGCGUGCUUAACACAUGCAAGUCGAGCGGUAAGGCCCUUUCGGGGGUACACGAGCGGCGAACGGGUGAGUAACACGUGGGUGACCUGCCCUCAGCUCUGGGAUAAGCCUGGGAAACCGGGUCUAAUACCGGAUAUGACUCCAUGACGCAUGUUGUGGGGUGGAAAGCCUUGUGCGGCUGAGGAUGGGCCCGCGGCCUAUCAGCUUGUUGGUGGGGUGANGGCCUACCAAGGCGACGACGGGUAGCCGGCCUGAGAGGGCGACCGGCCACACUGGGACUGAGACACGGCCCAGACUCCUACGGGAGGCAGCAGUGGGGAAUCUUGCGCAAUGGGCGAAAGCCUGACGCAGCGACGCCGCGUGAGGGAUGACGGCCUCGGUUGUAACGUACUUCUACGCUCCGACGAACGACGACGAGUGACGGUAGGA
RNAcentral lists this ribosomal RNA (440 nucleotides) under uncultured bacterium. RNAcentral's name for it is "bacterial SSU rRNA". It matches the Rfam family "Bacterial small subunit ribosomal RNA", at positions 28 to 480 of the family's 1533-position model. The record is from RNAcentral.